AUGAUAUCAAAAGAUGUAUUUGCUUGGAAGCAGAACUACAUUAAAUUUCUGAAAGAGAUGCUGCUUUAACAAGCGCAAUUAUUCCAGUUAUUUUCUUUCUCCCAAUUUAGGUUCCUAUAAUUGUGGAAACCAGAAAUAGGGCUUAUUUCUUAAAACUAAUAGCCGGCCAUCAUGAUCAUACAUCACCAGUUCAAUGUAAAUGCGUUAUGACCUGCAACUAUCCAAGGAAUAUUAUCACUGGAAUGGUAUGGACGGUAUUCCUCUGGCUGAGGACAGGCACUAGUAGCAGGCUUGUGUGAAAUUGUCAGUGAACGUUUUGGUUCCAUAAAAAUGUUUCGAACUUCUUGAAUAGUGGAGUGAUUGUUAGCUUCUGAAGAAGGGUUCGUUUCCAUGGCAUCCAUGAGUUGUGUUCUGUGCAUGGCUUCUUGCGGAAUAUCAAGGACGAUGCCUGUUCAUGGUGUUCAUGGUGUAGAUCGAAACUAGGCCCAUAGAGGAGGUGAUAAAGAUGCAAUGCAGAUACCUCAACCAGCCUUCGCUGGACACAAAAUCAGAGUUCAGUGACAGCAAAGGAGACUAAACUGCAUCAGAUGAUGAUAACGAUUGGAACAGAUGUGGAUGGAAGCAGUAAUGGUAUAGACUGAGGGUGUUUGAGAACAGGGUGUUGAGGAGAAUAUUUGGACCGAAGAGAGA
Long non-coding RNA from Cryptotermes secundus, 690 nucleotides. RefSeq lists it as uncharacterized. The transcript has 3 exons. NCBI's taxonomy places the organism in Eukaryota, Metazoa, Arthropoda, Insecta, Blattodea, Kalotermitidae. The record is from RefSeq and is a predicted model, not a curated record.